UGGAUCAAUGACUCUGAUGCCUGCUUCUCUUCCUGCUUGAUUGCUGCAGGUGCUGGCAUUUGAAGCGGGGAGAAAACAUAAAGUAAGAGUGAACACAAUUUCUGCAGUUCCAUUGAGAAAUCGUGCUGCAAAAGCAGUUGGUUUUAUGAGCGAAACCAUCAAGUACUCUAUACAAAAUGCACCGUUGCAGAAAGAACUAUCUGCUGAGGAGGUGGGAAAUGCUGCUGCAUUCCUGGCAUCGCCUUUGGCAUCUGCCAUCACCGGCACUGUCCUUCACGUGGAUAACGGUCUCCACGCGAGGGGAGUCGGAGUUGACAGCCCAAUAGUCGAGGAUCUUGAUAUUCCAAAAGCUAAGU
Long non-coding RNA from Rhodamnia argentea, 356 nucleotides. RefSeq lists it as uncharacterized. The record is from RefSeq and is a predicted model, not a curated record. The transcript has 3 exons. NCBI's taxonomy places the organism in Eukaryota, Viridiplantae, Streptophyta, Magnoliopsida, Myrtales, Myrtaceae.